GUAUUGUAUUGCGUUAGACGCGACAUACAUUCCAUAUGACUUCAUUACGGUGUGUGUGUAAAGACGUAGAACCACGGCGAGGGAGACAGAGUCCCCCAGGCCACAGAACUACAGAGGGUGCACAGGUGUGUGUGGAUGUGUGAACAGAGCGUGCACAUGCCCCGUUUGAGGACCAGCAACAACUCAUGUUGACAAUUCGGUAAUGAUCCUUCCGCAGGUUCACCUACGGAAA
RNAcentral lists this unclassified non-coding RNA (232 nucleotides) under uncultured fungus. Its description in RNAcentral is "sequence contains ITS1". The record is from RNAcentral. Lineage: Eukaryota; Fungi.